UACGUAGGGAGCAAGCGUUAUCCGGAAUUACUGGGCGUAAAGCGUUCGUAGGUGGUAUUUUAAGUCAGAUGUUAAAUCUUUGGGCUCAACCCAGAGGCCGCAUUUGAUACUGAAGUACUCGAGGUAGGUAGAGGUAAGCGGAAUUUGUAGUGUAGCAGUGAAAUGCGUAGAUAUUACAAGGAACACCAAUGGCGAAGGCAGCUUACUGGUCCUAUCCUGACACUGAGGAACGAAAGCGUGGGGAGCGAAAGGG
This 253-nucleotide ribosomal RNA is filed under the name uncultured bacterium. Its description in RNAcentral is "partial 16S ribosomal RNA". It matches the Rfam family "Bacterial small subunit ribosomal RNA", at positions 524 to 776 of the family's 1533-position model. The record is from RNAcentral.